Hydra vulgaris (swiftwater hydra) is the source of this 1466-nucleotide non-coding RNA. Lineage: Eukaryota; Metazoa; Cnidaria; Hydrozoa; Anthoathecata; Hydridae. The record is from RefSeq and is a predicted model, not a curated record.
UAUACAUUUAACAAUCAUAUUCUAACAUUUAUAAUGUUAGAAUAUGAUAUGUUUUAUAUUUUAAUGGUGAAAAAAUCAAAGUUUUACAUGAUAUUUUUAUUAGAAAAUUUUAUAAGGAUUUUUUGAAAAAAUAAUGACAAAAUUGAUAGUUUUUCGUAACUUCAAAUGUUAUAACUUUUCCAAUUCUUGUCAAAAUGUAUACAAUUAGGUAUAAAAACAAAUAUAUGAAAGAGACAAGGCACCUACAACACCCAGUAAUAUGUUACGAAUGUAUAUUUGUUAAUGAAAGUUUUGUGUUUUUUAUUGAAAUUCUGGAUUUUUAUUUUCAAUUUUUUAUAUCAUUAAAUAUGAUAGAUAAACAAGUAGAAAAGAAUAUAGUAUUACAUAAUACUCUCCUCAUAUGUAAUGCUCUCCUUAAACGUAAAUCAAAUUGUUUAAACUGGAUAUGAUGAUUAAAUGUUGUAUCGGCAUGGUUUUAUCUGACUACUUUGCUUUUUCAAUUUGGUUGCCAGCUUCAACCUAAUUCUUGAUUUAGAACUAUGAUUUUGAACUAAAACAUUUCCGUGUUGAAUAAAAUACUAUUUAUUCUUAACUGUAUUUUUUUUAAGGCUUCAGUUAUCAAAUGUUGGUGGUAAUUUUAGUUAUGCCACUAUGAAAGCGUUGAUUGUUGAGUAGAUAUAAAAAGUUUGAAGUAUGCACAAAGCCUGAAAGUGUCAAAUAUGGAACCUAAAAAAACCUGCCUUUGCCACUGACUGUAUAAAGGUUUUUUAAGGUCUGUUUGUUAAGCGUCAAGUCAGGUUAUCUUGCUACUGAUACCAUGUAGUACAUCCUGCCUAAGCAGGUUAUACGCCAUCCAUACGACGUUUGGGCAUCUGUUUGUAAAAUAUUGCUGCAAAUCUUUUUGAGAGAGCCAUUACUAUGGAGAACCAUCUAAACCAUACAAGUGUGAAAACAUGGAUGUAAAUCUUAAACACAUUUGUGAUAUAUAAUUGUAGAAUGUUAUAUGUUUGGAAAUUAUAUUCUGGAUGUAAGAUUGGAAAUUAUAUUCUGCUAAAAAAACUUUUUAAAUGUAUUUUAGCAGAACAUACCUGGCUCGCAUUUGAUCCUGAAAAACUUUCUUUUUGGACCAAAUGCUGGCUGGGUAAUUUGGACUUGUAAAUGAACUUAUAUUCAUAAUUUUUAAACUGCUUAUGAUCUGAUCUGAUUUUAUUUUUGUCAUUUGUUUAUUUAGAUUAAUGUAAAAUAAACUGAUGAGUUUAUUUAACUUAGCUGGUAAAAAAAAGAGUUUUCGUGAAACAAAUUUAAUGAAGACAAUUAUAGAAUGAAGUUCAUUCAUUUGCUAGCAACAUGUUUAAACGUGGUCCAGAUCAAAAAAAUUUGGUGCUAGAAAUUGUCGAUAGUGGAAGUGAUAGAUGCAUCGAACCUAAUUUGUAAUUAAUUUCUGUAAAUAAAUUUCACUUUACUAA